GGUAUGGCCGAGAGGUUAGGCGCUUGAUUUUGAAUUAAGUUACGUUGGUUCGAAUCCAACUA
This 62-nucleotide transfer RNA is filed under the name uncultured Tubulinea. It matches the Rfam family "tRNA", at positions 6 to 65 of the family's 71-position model. From Rfam's summary of the family: Transfer RNA (tRNA) molecules are approximately 80 nucleotides in length. Their secondary structure includes four short double-helical elements and three loops (D, anti-codon, and T loops). Lineage: Eukaryota; Tubulinea. The record is from RNAcentral.